RNAcentral lists this ribosomal RNA (238 nucleotides) under uncultured Lactobacillus sp. Its description in RNAcentral is "partial 16S ribosomal RNA". It matches the Rfam family "Bacterial small subunit ribosomal RNA", at positions 125 to 355 of the family's 1533-position model. The record is from RNAcentral. Lineage: Bacteria; Bacillati; Bacillota; Bacilli; Lactobacillales; Lactobacillaceae.
CCGUGCCCAAGAGAUCGGGAUAACACCUGGAAACAGAUGCUAAUACCGGAUAACAACAGAUGAUGCCUAUCAACUGUUUAAAAGAUGGUUCUGCUAUCACUCUUGGAUGGACCUGCGGUGCAUUAGCUAGUUGGUAGGGUGACGGCCUACCAAGGCGAUGAUGCAUAGCCGAGUUGAGAGACUGAUCGGCCACAUUGGGACUGAGACACGGCCCAAACUCCUACGGGAGGCAGCAGCC